UUUGAUCAUGGCUCAGAUUGAACGCUGGCGGCAGGCCUAACACAUGCAAGUCGAGCGGAAACGAGUUAUCUGAACUUCGGGGAACGAUAACGGCGUCGAGCGGCGGACGGGUGAGUAAUGCCUAGGAAAUUGCCCUGAUGUGGGGGAUAACCAUUGGAAACGAUGGCUAAUACCGCAUGAUGCUACGGGCCAAAGAGGGGGACCUUCGGGCCUCUCGCGUCAGGAUAUGCCUAGGUGGGAUUAGCUAGUUGGUGAGGUAAGGGCUCACCAAGGCGACGAUCCCUAGCUGGUCUGAGAGGAUGAUCAGCCACACUGGAACUGAGACACGGUCCAGACUCUACGGGAGGCAGCAGUGGGGAAUAUUGCACAAUGGGCGCAAGCCUGAUGCAGCCAUGCCGCGUGUAUGAAGAAGGCCUUCGGGUUGUAAAGUACUUUCAGUCGUGAGGAAGGUAGUGUAGUUAAUAGCUGCAUUAUUUGACGUUAGCGACAGAAGAAGCACCGGCUAACUCCGUGCCAGCAGCCGCGGUAAUACGGAGGGUGCGAGCGUUAAUCGGAAUUACUGGGCGUAAAGCGCAUGCAGGUGGUUUGUUAAGUCAGAUGUGAAAGCCCGGGGCUCAACCUCGGAAUAGCAUUUGAAACUGGCAGACUAGAGUACUGUAGAGGGGGGUAGAAUUCAGGUGUAGCGGUGAAAUGCGUAGAGAUCUGAAGGAAUACCGGUGGCGAAGGCGGCCCCU
RNAcentral lists this ribosomal RNA (734 nucleotides) under Vibrio sp. GWS-TZ-H182. RNAcentral describes it as "bacterial SSU rRNA". It matches the Rfam family "Bacterial small subunit ribosomal RNA", at positions 12 to 729 of the family's 1533-position model. The record is from RNAcentral. Lineage: Bacteria; Pseudomonadati; Pseudomonadota; Gammaproteobacteria; Vibrionales; Vibrionaceae.